Molecule: ribosomal RNA, 161 nt
Filed under: Silene gallica
Lineage: Eukaryota; Viridiplantae; Streptophyta; Magnoliopsida; Caryophyllales; Caryophyllaceae
Description: 5.8S ribosomal RNA
Rfam family: 5.8S ribosomal RNA
About the family: 5.8S ribosomal RNA (5.8S rRNA) is a component of the large subunit of the eukaryotic ribosome. It is transcribed by RNA polymerase I as part of the 45S precursor that also contains 18S and 28S rRNA.
Source: RNAcentral
AACGACUCUCGGCAACGGAUAUCUCGGCUCUCGCAUCGAUGAAGAACGUAGCGAAAUGCGAUACUUGGUGUGAAUUGCAGAAUCCCGUGAACCAUCGAGUUUUUGAACGCAAGUUGCGCCCGAAGCCUCCGGCUGAGGGCACGUCUGCCUGGGCGUCACGC